AACCCGAAAUUGAUGGGUUUAGUGAGGCCUUCUGACUGGCGCCGCUACUCUGGCAACAGAGCGGCGGAUGCCGGGAAGUUGGUCAAACUUGAUCAUUUAGAGGAAGUAAAAGUCGUAACAAGGUUUCCGUAGGUGAACCUGCGGAAGGAUCAUUACCGAUCGACGCAUCCAAAACCUGUCAUGGGUUUUCAGUGUGAAUUGUCAAUUCAAUUUUUAGGGGUCGGCGAGAUGCCGUUAAAUGGCGCGUGGGCGUGUGCGACGCACACGUGCGCACGUCAGCCCCGCCAUUGUUUUUGUCAUCGAACUGUAACGUUUUGACUGAAAGUGAAUACUAAAAAAAGAGAGACAACUUUUGACGGUGGAUCUCUUGGCUCACGUAUCGAUGAAGAACGCAGCCAGCUGCGAUAAGUAGUGUGAAUUGCAGAAUUCAGUGAAUCAUUGAAUCUUUGAACGCAAAUGGCGCUCUUGGGUUCUCCCAGGAGCAUGUCUGUCUGAGUGUCGGAUAUCUUACGAAGCGAUCGUGCAUCGAUUGCGGAUUUGAGGUGUCACGGAGAGUGCAAACAACUCAGGCCGUGUCCCUCGAAAGGAGGCAGCUGCGGAGCCGCACGCGCUAUUAUUUUCUGUAAUAGCGAGUGACCUCUAUGAAAAAGUCAUGGGUUCAGUGCGUAGGCUAAAAUGCAAAUUCCUCCGUGCUACCAUGAUGUAGAGGUUGUGUGUCCCAGUUUUUGUUUAUGUUUUUUAAACAACCAAAAUCUUGACCUCAGAUCAGGCAAGGCUACCCGCUGAAUUUAAGCAUAUUAAUAAGCGGAGGAAAAGAAACUAACAAGGAUUCCCUCAGUAACAGCGAGUGAAGCGGGAACAGCUCAAAUUUGAAAUCUCCGACGCUUGCGUCGGCGAGUUGUAGUUGCGAGAAGCACUUUCUAGGCGGAUCGGUGGUGCCUAAGUUGCUUGGAACAGUACGUCAUAGAGGGUGACAACCCCGUCUGUGGCACGACCGGGCGCUCACGAUGUGCUUUCGAGAGUCGGGUUGCUUGGGACUGCUCCCCCCACAAGAAGCAACCC
This 1062-nucleotide ribosomal RNA is filed under the name Porites pukoensis. RNAcentral's name for it is "eukaryotic LSU rRNA". The stretch from base 756 to 1062 matches the Rfam family "Eukaryotic large subunit ribosomal RNA", at positions 1 to 304 of the family's 3401-position model. The record is from RNAcentral. Lineage: Eukaryota; Metazoa; Cnidaria; Anthozoa; Scleractinia; Poritidae.